This is a non-coding RNA of Nothobranchius furzeri (turquoise killifish), 1554 nucleotides long. The record is from RefSeq and is a predicted model, not a curated record. Lineage: Eukaryota; Metazoa; Chordata; Actinopteri; Cyprinodontiformes; Nothobranchiidae.
CGGAAGUAGCAGCUAGUGAGUCCUCGGCUAGCAGGCGCUUGUAUUUUUGCUUCUCAGUCGAAUGCUUCAGGAGUUUCAGCCGCCAUGUCUUCAGUUCAGCAACUGAGAGAGUUCAUCAGCAAGCGCCUAGCUGCUGCUGCUAAGGAAAUAUUCUCCGAGUUUGAGAAAACCAUCGAAGAAGAGCUGGAAGCUCAGCGCAGACUGCUGGAUAUCAGCUGGGAUCCGCACAGAAACGAACUCCAGGAGCAGAAUGUCUGGAAGGAGAAGAAGGUUCUGAUGAGCUACAGUCACGAUCAGGAUCAACCAGAGCCUCCACAGCUCAAAGAAGACCUGGAUGAUCCAGAACCUCCACGGAUCAAAGUGGAACAGCUGGAACCAGGACUUCCCCAGUUUGAAAGGGAACUGCAGGAACUCUGCAGCAGUCAGGAGGUACAGCAGCUGGUGCUGAAGCAGGAGACGGAUGCUUCCACCGAGCAAGACGGUGACUUUGGUGAAGCAGACCCAAACACCGAGCAGCGUUACUCUCCUGCAGCUGAGAUCCGAGAUCAGGGAGGAAACGGCUCCUCCGUGUCAGCGAACCCAGACACGGGUACAUCUGUAAAAUGUUCCCUUUGUGAGAAGAGCUUUUGGAAUAGGUACAGUUUAAAGAGGCAUCUCCGAGUUCACUCAGGAGAGAGGCCAUAUCCCUGUAAGACAUGUGGGAAAAGGUUCUCGGACGCCAGCGGUCUGACCAAACACAUUAGAAUCCACACGGGAGAGAAGAGGUUUUCCUGUGACAUCUGCGGGAAAAGUUUCAGUGAAUGUGGGAAUUUAAAAGUCCACAAGAGAACGCACACGGGCGAGAGGCCGUAUCCUUGUGAGACAUGUGGAAAGAGCUUUUCUCAGAAGAGUGCGUUGAAGUACCACAUGGAGACCCACAAAGGAGACAAAACAUUUUCCUGUAGAACCUGCAGGAGAAACUUCAUCCAUAACAACAGCCUGCUGAAGCACAUGAAGACCCACGCCGGGAAGUCGGUUUCCUGUCAGACGUGUGGGAAGGGUUUCAGCGACAAUCAUACUUUAAACGUCCACAUGAGAAUGCACACCGGGGAGAAGCCGUUCUCGUGUGCAGCUUGUGGGAAACAGUUCAGGACCAGCAGCAAUUUAUAUGUUCACAAGAGAACCCAUACGGGAGUGAAGCCGUAUUCCUGUUUGACAUGUGGGAAAAACUUCAGCUGUGGGAUUAACCUGAAGGUCCACAUGCAGACUCACGCUGGUGAAUAAGCACAGGCUGGUAGGAGAGCGGGCAUGUUUGGUUUGUUCCAUGUCAGAGCUCCUCAGCCAGAGCAGCUUGGAGGAUACUGAAACCAAGACGAUGAAACCACACAGCAGCUUCAGCUGAGCUGUCAAUCAUCAUCAGCAGCAGGGGCUGAUGGGAGCUGAGGAGCUGGUAAAACCACGUGGCCCUGGUCUGAUCUUGUUUGGCCUCAGCUGCAUCAGAGCACCACUUCUCCCCAGGUUCACCAGAGGAAACACCACUGAACAAAAUGUGUUUCCUCCCAGCUGCUGCUCUGU